AUGGUUAAGUUAGAAAGGGCGCACGGUGGAUGCCUUGGCACUAGGAGCCGAUGAAGGACGGGACGAACACCGAUAUGCUUCGGGGAGCUGUAAGCAAGCUUUGAUCCGGAGAUUUCCGAAUGGGGAAACCCACUGCUCGUAAUGGAGUAGUAUCCAUACUUGAAUACAUAGAGUAUGAGAAGGCAUACCCGGGGAACUGAAACAUCUAAGUACCCGGAGGAAGAGAAAGCAAAUGCGAUUCCCUGAGUAGCGGCGAGCGAAACGGGAACAGCCCAAACCAAGAGGCUUGCCUCUUGGGGUUGUAGGACACUCUAUACGGAGUUACAAAGGAACGAUAUAAGCGAAGAGGUCUGGAAAGGCCCGCCAAAGAAGGUAACAGCCCUGUAACUGAAAUGUUGUUCUCUCCAGAGUGGAUCCUGAGUACGGCGGAACACGUGAAAUUCCGUCGGAAUCCGGGAGGACCAUCUCCCAAGGCUAAAUACUCCCUAGUGACCGAUAGUGAACCAGUACCGUGAGGGAAAGGUGAAAAGCACCCCGGAAGGGGAGUGAAAUAGAUCCUGAAACCGUGUGCCUACAAGUAGUCAGAGCCCGUUAAAGGGUGAUGGCGUGCCUUUUGUAGAAUGAACCGGCGAGUUACGAUCCCGUGCAAGGUUAAGCAGAAGAUGCGGAGCCGCAGCGAAAGCGAGUCUGAAUAGGGCGCAUGAGUACGUGGUCGUAGACCCGAAACCAGGUGAUCUACCCAUGUCCAGGGUGAAGUUCAGGUAACACUGAAUGGAGGCCCGAACCCACGCACGUUGAAAAGUGCGGGGAUGAGGUGUGGGUAGGGGUGAAAUGCCAAUCGAACCUGGAGAUAGCUGGUUCUCUCCGAAAUAGCUUUAGGGCUAGCCUCAAGGUAAGAGUCUCGGAGGUAGAGCACUGAUUGGACUAGGGGCCCCUACCGGGUUACCGAAUUCAGUCAAACUCCGAAUGCCGAUGACUUAUCCUUGGGAGUCAGACUGCGAGUGAUAAGAUCCGUAGUCGAAAGGGAAACAGCCCAGACCGCCAGCUAAGGUCCCAAAGUAUACGUUAAGUGGAAAAGGAUGUGGAGUUGCUUAGACAACCAGGAUGUUGGCUUAGAAGCAGCCACCAUUUAAAGAGUGCGUAAUAGCUCACUGGUCGAGUGACUCUGCGCCGAAAAUGUACCGGGGCUAAACGUAUCACCGAAGCUGCGGACUGUUCUAACGAACAGUGGUAGGAGAGCGUUCUAAGUGCUGUGAAGUCAGACCGGAAGGACUGGUGGAGCGCUUAGAAGUGAGAAUGCCGGUAUGAGUAGCGAAAGACGGGU
RNAcentral lists this ribosomal RNA (1324 nucleotides) under Bacillus pumilus. RNAcentral describes it as "partial 23S ribosomal RNA". It matches the Rfam family "Bacterial large subunit ribosomal RNA", at positions 1 to 1322 of the family's 2925-position model. The record is from RNAcentral. Lineage: Bacteria; Bacillati; Bacillota; Bacilli; Caryophanales; Bacillaceae.